CAGCCGGGACAGCCGGGGCGGCCGGGCAGCGGCGGGACCGGAGCCGGCGCACGGAGACUCCGCCGGUCCCGCGGAGAGGUUGUUGAUCCUAGAAGUGAAAAGUGACCUUCAAACACUGUGGUUCAGCACUGGGAGCCUGAUCCAAAGUCUGCUGGGGAGAAAGGAAGUUCGAAUGCUCAUUCCCAAGAGGGUUUUGAGAACCUCCAGAGGAAAACUGCUGACAACAAAUGCCUGUUAAUUAAAACCAAAAAUUUAUCAGCCUAAAAACAAUAAAGUUGGUUACGAUGGA
Non-coding RNA from Lonchura striata (white-rumped munia), 289 nucleotides. Lineage: Eukaryota; Metazoa; Chordata; Aves; Passeriformes; Estrildidae. The record is from RefSeq and is a predicted model, not a curated record.